CCUCCCUACGGGACGCAGCAGUAGGGAAUCUUCCACAAUGGGCGAAAGCCUGAUGGAGCAACGCCGCGUGGGUGAAGAAGGUCUUCGGAUCGUAAAACCCUGUUGUUAGAGAAGAAAGUGCGUGAGAGUAACUGUUCACGUUUCGACGGUAUCUAACCAGAAAGCCACGGCUAACUACGUGCCAGCAGCCGCGGUAAUACGUAGGUGGCAAGCGUUAUCCGGAUUUAUUGGGCGUAAAGGGAACGCAGGCGGUCUUUUAAGGCUGAUGUGAAAGCCUUCGGCUUAACCGGAGAAGAGCAUUGUAA
RNAcentral lists this ribosomal RNA (305 nucleotides) under uncultured bacterium. RNAcentral describes it as "bacterial SSU rRNA". It matches the Rfam family "Bacterial small subunit ribosomal RNA", at positions 334 to 632 of the family's 1533-position model. The record is from RNAcentral.